UCCUUCUCUCAACAGCCAAGCUUCUUCAAAGAAGUUUCCUUUACCUUCCAGCUUUGUGUUUUGUCCCCAAUCUAUUGAAAUCUGCCUGCGCCAAAUCACUUCUUUGAAAUUGUUCGCAUCAAGGUGUUGAUGCCAGUUCUGAAAUGUCUGUCUGGGAGCUGUCUGAGCAGAAGCAGACCUGAAUGUGCCAACGAUAAGCUGGAGGCCACACACCUGUGCUUAUUUCUAUCGGUGCUGCCCCUGCCUUCAAGAUGUAUCACCUUUCCAGCAAAUUGAAGGCAAGACCGUCCACCUGCAAAAUUAUUAAGACUCACUUUAUUGUGAUACUUCAUUGCUGGGGUCUGGAACUAAACCCACAACAACUCCAAAGUAUGCCGGUAUCUGUCUAUCCCUUUAUCUGUACAUAUGAAUAUAAAUAAUUCUGGAUUGAUA
This is a long non-coding RNA of Myotis lucifugus (little brown bat), 432 nucleotides long. RefSeq lists it as uncharacterized. Lineage: Eukaryota; Metazoa; Chordata; Mammalia; Chiroptera; Vespertilionidae. The record is from RefSeq and is a predicted model, not a curated record. The transcript is spliced from 3 exons.